Molecule: small RNA, 1203 nt
Filed under: Pan troglodytes (chimpanzee)
Lineage: Eukaryota; Metazoa; Chordata; Mammalia; Primates; Hominidae
Description: retained intron
Source: RNAcentral
GUAAACUUGGCUGCUUCUGCUGACCAGCCCAUGCAGGCUCUGGAGGUCCUCCUGCUGCUACGGAUUGUCUCUGAGAGACUGAAGGACCACUCGAAGGCAGCUGGCUCCUCCUGCCACAUCACCCAGCUCCUCCUGACCCUCGGCUGUCCCAGCUAUGCCCAGUUACACCUGGAAGAGGCAGCAUCGAGCCUGAAGCAUCUCGAUCAGACCACUGACACAUACCUGCUCCUUUCCCUGACCUGUGAUCUGCUUCGAAGUCAACUCUACUGGACUCACCAGAAGGUGACCAAGGGUGUCUCUCUGCUGCUGUCUGUGCUUCGGGAUCCUGCCCUCCAGAAGUCCUCCAAGGCUUGGUACUUGCUGCGUGUCCAGGUCCUGCAGCUGGUGGCAGCUUACCUUAGCCUCCCGUCAAACAACCUCUCACACUCCCUGUGGGAGCAGCUCUGUGCCCAAGGCUGGCAGACACCUGAGAUAGCUCUCAUAGACUCCCAUAAGCUCCUCCGAAGCAUCAUCCUCCUGCUGAUGGGCAGUGACAUUCUCUCAACUCAGAAAGCAGCUGUGGAGACAUCGUUUUUGGACUAUGGUGAAAAUCUGGUACAAAAAUGGCAGGUUCUUUCAGAGGUGCUGAGCUGCUCAGAGAAGCUGGUCUGCCACCUGGGCCGCCUGGGUAGUGUGAGUGAAGCCAAGGCCUUUUGCUUGGAGGCCCUAAAACUUACAACAAAGCUGCAGAUACCACGCCAGUGUGCCCUGUUCCUGGUGCUGAAGGGCGAGCUGGAGCUGGCCCGCAAUGACAUUGAUCUCUGUCAGUCGGACCUGCAGCAGGUUCUGUUCUUGCUUGAGUCUUGCACAGGUGAACUUCAGUGAUGACAGUGACUUGGAAGACCCUGUCUCAGCUGAGGCCUGGCUGGCAGAGGAGCCUAAGAGACGGGGCACUGCUUCCUGGGGCCGGGGGCGAGCAAGGAAGGGUCUGAGCCUAAAGACGGAUGCCGUGGUUGCCCCAGGUAGUGCCCCUGGGAACCCUGGCCUGAAUGGCAGGAGCCGGAGGGCCAAGAAGGUGGCAUCAAGACAUUGUGAGGAGCGGCGUCCCCAGAGGGCCAGUGACCAGGCCAGGCCUGGCCCUGAGAUCAUGAGGACCAUCCCUGAGGAAGAACUGACUGACAACUGGAGAAAAAUGAGCUUUGAGAUCCUCAGGGGCUCUGACGG